Molecule: ribosomal RNA, 460 nt
Filed under: uncultured bacterium
Lineage: Bacteria
Description: partial 16S ribosomal RNA
Rfam family: Bacterial small subunit ribosomal RNA
Source: RNAcentral
CCUACGGGUGGCAGCAGUGAGGAAUAUUGGUCAAUGGACGCAAGUCUGAACCAGCCAUGCCGCGUGCAGGAAGACGGCUCUAUGAGUUGUAAACUGCUUUUGUACGAGGGUAAACGCAGAUACGCGUAUCUGUCUGAAAGUAUCGUACGAAUAAGGAUCGGCUAACUCCGUGCCAGCAGCCGCGGUAAUACGGAGGCUUCAAGCGUUAUCCGGAUUUAUUGGGUUUAAAGGGUGCGUAGGCGGUCGGUUAAGUUAGAGGUGAAAUCCCGAGGCUCAACUUCGGAAUUGCCUUUGAUACUGUUAGGCUAGAGAGUAGUUGCGGUAGGCGGAAUGUAUGGUGUAGCGGUGAAAUGCUUAGAGAUCAUACAGAACACCGAUUGCGAAGGCAGCUUACCAAGCUGCAUCUGACGUUGAGGCACGAAAGCGUGGGGAGCAAACAGGAUUAGAUACCCGUGUAGUC